GGGCUCCCUUUGACAGUACAUAUAGUAAAGUUGGAGUGAUACAGAGAUUAACUUGGCCCUGUUUAAGGAUGACACCCACAUAUGUGCAGCAUCCUAUAUGUGU
Molecule: small nuclear RNA, 103 nt
Organism: Onychomys torridus (southern grasshopper mouse)
Lineage: Eukaryota; Metazoa; Chordata; Mammalia; Rodentia; Cricetidae
Source: RefSeq, a predicted model, not a curated record